UACGGGGGGGGUAAGCGUUGUUCGGAAUUACUGGGCGUAAAGGGCUCGUAGGCGGCCAACUAAGUCAGACGUGAAAUCCCUCAGCUUAACUGGGGAACUGCGUCUGAUACUGGAUGGCUUGGAUUCGGGAGAGGAAUGCGGAAUUCCAGGUGUAGCGGUGAAAUGCGUAGAUAUCUGGAGGAACACCGGUGGCGAAGGCGGCAUUCUGGACCGACAUUGACGCUGGAGCGAAAGCAUGGGGAGCGAACAGG
RNAcentral lists this ribosomal RNA (251 nucleotides) under uncultured bacterium. RNAcentral describes it as "partial 16S ribosomal RNA". It matches the Rfam family "Bacterial small subunit ribosomal RNA", at positions 524 to 776 of the family's 1533-position model. The record is from RNAcentral.